UGCAACUUGGCUGAGGACAAAGCUGGGAGCCCUGACACCAACAGGGGGGCUUGGGAGGGGCUUCUCGGAGGAGAGGAAAUGGCGUCCAAAGUCCGGAGGGUGUGGGUGACAAAAACAAGACUCAGGAUGGCUCCAGGCAGAGGGCGCUCAGGGAUGGCCACGCUGUCCUUUCCGUAGAGCCGUGAGGAGACAGCCAGUAGAGAGUGCUGCGGUAACAGGCCUGUGCCACCAUGCUGGGGCCACUGUUUUUCUUCGGUACCCUCCCACCCCAUGCGCCCACAGCAGGCUUGGAAUUGCUUCAGAGACACGCCCUGCCCUUCUUCACUUGUGCCAAGGCACAAAGCCCAGUCCUUGGAGCCUCUGUGCAGAGGUGACUUGUGGUGUGGCCGCCAGGCCUUACCCCCCUGGACCCACGGACAGCUCAUCCUGGCUCUGCCUCCGCAGCACAGACUGUUUAAUAAAUAUUUAAUAGCAACAAUAAAAGAUCAACCUGGCAA
RNAcentral lists this long non-coding RNA (497 nucleotides) under Fukomys damarensis (Damara mole-rat). RNAcentral's name for it is "lncRNA (ENSFDAG00000021734.1)". Lineage: Eukaryota; Metazoa; Chordata; Mammalia; Rodentia; Bathyergidae. The record is from RNAcentral.